Molecule: RNA transcript, 1820 nt
Organism: Scleropages formosus (Asian bonytongue)
Lineage: Eukaryota; Metazoa; Chordata; Actinopteri; Osteoglossiformes; Osteoglossidae
Gene name: matrix remodeling-associated protein 8-like
Exons: 5
Source: RefSeq, a predicted model, not a curated record
GCUCCACUUCCACUAAGCAAGAUGGCGUAGGGGAACGAGCGCCGCAAUGCCAGUCGGUACUACGACUGGAACACAAAGUCAUACAAUAGGUUGGACAACUCUCAGGCACUAUAGUACAGUGGGUAUAUCCGAUGCCGCGCCAUCUCCUGUCUUCAAACACAGUCCUCCAGCCGAGCGCGUAGAGUCUGAGAGACCAGUCCACGCCCCACACUCUUUCAGCGUCUUCGGCUGCCCUCCUCAACACCCCGCCGUAGUGAUAGUCACACCUUGCAGUGGCGACGACAGAACAAAACACUGCUUCGCUGCUGCUCCGUUCAACAUGAACGUAAAAGACGGAGCGACAUACAAUGUGUCUACACUCUGGGAGCAGGAGACACCGGCAGGCAACACCAGAGAGAACUGAAUAUUGAAAGGAGACAGCUUUGAUGUGAAGGACUUCAAAAUGGACCCAGACACCUUCUUUACUGUCCUCAUCAUUACCUGUGUUCAGCUCUCAGAAUCUAAUGGACUGGAACCUGUAACUGCUGAUGUGAAAAGCUCUGCCCUCCUGCCCUGCACUGGCACCGCCCACAGGGGUCAGGCAGAGGUGAAAUGGACAAGCAGUGGAGACCCUGUCUUUGUUUACCACCAGGGGAAGCUCACCACAGGUCCUGGGUUCAAGAACAGAGUCCAUCUGUCCAAGGAGGAGAUUGAGGGUGGAAACUUCUCCCUCAUCAUCAGUCCUGUUGAAUACAGCGAUAAAGGUCUUUACAGUUGCUUCUACAACAAUGAAUGGCUUCAUGAUGUCAGACUGGAUGUUGUUGGUAAGUUGUUUUAAAUACAUUGUUUGUUGUGUCCAAAGUGAGUCCUGAGUGUCACUGCAAUACCUGAGUUGGGCUCCAUUCCUGUCCGUCUUCCUCUGUCCUCUUCGUCCUCUCUGUCCAUGUUCCCCUCACCGUGCUCCUAACCCUAAACCCCUCAGUGCCUACGGUGGUCUCUGUACCAGUAGGAGACCCCGUCAAACUCCACUGUUAUGCCGACAUCAACAGACAGAUAGAAGACAGCCAGCUUGAUGUGCGUUGGGAGAAGGAGGGAAAACUUGUUCUGCACCUUCAUCAUGAGUCGGUCACCCUGGGUUCAAAAACAGAAUCAAUGUGUCUAAAGAGGACAUUCGAAAGGGCGACCUGUCAUUGAUCUUGAACGAGACGCGUCUUUCGGAUCAAGGACACUACCAGUGUUUCUACAACGAGGAGAAAAAGACAGGAGAUCCUAGGAGAAUCUCACUGAAGGUCACAGCCCGUGAGCACAACCACACUGCCCCAGAGUGCACUCCAGUACAAGAAUCUUCCAAAUCACUGGUACUGGUACUGGCAGUGGCACUGGGACUGGCAGGGGCAUUGGUGAUUGCAGUUCCCUUGGUGGCAGUCUGGUGCUACCAUAAAUGGAGAAAAGGGAACUUGUGCUGCCGAAGGCAGAGGGGGUCACAGACAGACAUUGAAAAGGGAAAUGAAGAGGAGCAGGCGAGCAUGAACAUGUCAUCGAGAAACAGUGAUGCAGGAUAUUCAGAGCCCGACACCAGUGAUAUGGACAGCGACAGUGUGCACUAUAAGAUGUCAGUGCUUCUGUCAGCUGCUGAAAAUGACAGCAGAUCCUAAAGAUUUCCUGGUGAAGAAGUGUUUGAACUGGGUUACGAAUGAGCAUAUGUGGAGAAUUCUUUGUAUUUUUUUAAAUAUUUAUAUUCACUUUAUAUUUUCACUCAACAUUCAAGACACACAGGACAAGAUGUUAACCCUAUGCAUAUUUCUGAACGGCUGUACACAAAACUAUGUAAUAUUUUUUUA